RNAcentral lists this long non-coding RNA (1095 nucleotides) under Danio rerio (zebrafish). RNAcentral describes it as "si:dkey-20j3.4 (ENSDARG00000096795.2)". The record is from RNAcentral. Lineage: Eukaryota; Metazoa; Chordata; Actinopteri; Cypriniformes; Danionidae.
CUUUUCCUUGUGCAAGAACGUGUCGCAUGAAUAUGACGUCACUAAGGCUAUGUGGCUUUUUAGCCUAAGAAGUAUUUGCUCCAACAUCUAAAAGCCAAGUCUCAUUUCCAAAUGUAAAAGCUGGCAUUUUGUUGGAUUUCGUUAAUACGUUUUUGUCUAAGAAGCCUUUUCACUGUUAAGGAGACACAUACAAGGGCCUCGAGCGUGGAAAAGAGGUUUGAUUUUGUGCUUGUAUUCAAAGAGGAAGAAGGAAGCGAGUGACAGCCCUCCUACUGCUGAGCGUAUCUUAGUAAAAAAAUAAAGGCACAGAAGAGCAGGUGACGUUGCCCAGCUGAAGACCAGCGGGUUCGGAGGAUCUCAGGACGGACUCUGCUACGCUCGUCAACACGAAUGAAAACACAUACCUGAACCCUGAGACAAACAGAGGCCACUGUGGAAUAUGGAAUCAAGACUCUACUGGAUACAUAAAGAAAAAACCUUAGGCUGUACUCACACAUACUUCCAGACAGAGAGAGACGGGGACAAGGGAAUACCCAAAAUGACAAUUUGACAGGGAAUAUGAAAACAAGACUGGACUUUUUCUUCUUUGAUGGAGAGUAUUAUGUAGAUGUCAUGUCCACAUGACAAAAUGUCUGUACAUGGAAUAUGGAAAAGCUUAUUUUAAUCAUUUCUAAAACUGGUCAAAAUGCAGAGGAGACAUUGCAUGGGAGCACUGGAACAGAAUUUGUCAUCGCAACAUUGUUUUUGAACUAUUGAACUACAUGGAUAAAAUUAAAAAAAAAAACUAUGUAUCCAAAAAACUAUAAUGAUGCACUGAAAAAAAUGCUUUUCUAACUUAUCUUUUUUGUCUUGUUUCUUGUCUACAUAUCUAAAAAUUCUUCAAUUAAGAAGCAUUUUCUAGAAAAGCAAAACAAAAGCUCUUGUUUUAAGGUUUAAUGUGCCAAAUUAAGUAAGCUUUUCCACAAGCUAAGUAAUCUGCCACUGGGUUAAGAUAAAAUAAUCUUAUGUCAAAACAAGGAACAAGAAUAUUUUGCUUAUUUUGCUGGAUUUAAGGAAAACUUACUUAGUUUUGAUAUAUUAUUUAUUAAAACAAGG